AAUAGAUACCCGGGUAGUCCACGCCCUAAACGAUGUCAACUAGCUGUUGGGGCCUUCGGGCCUUGGUAGCGCAGCUAACGCGUGAAGUUGACCGCCUGGGGAGUACGGUCGCAAGAUUAAAACUCAAAGGAAUUGACGGGGACCCGCACAAGCGGUGGAUGAUGUGGAUUAAUUCGAUGCAACGCGAAAAACCUUACCUACCCUUGACAUGUCUGGAAUCCUGAAGAGAUUUAGGAGUGCUCGCAAGAGAACCGGAACACAGGUGCUGCAUGGCUGUCGUCAGCUCGUGUCGUGAGAUGUUGGGUUAAGUCCCGCAACGAGCGCAACCCUUGUCAUUAGUUGCUACGAAAGGGCACUCUAAUGAGACUGCCGGUGACAAACCGGAGGAAGGUGGGGAUGACGUCAAGUCCUCAUGGCCCUUAUGGGUAGGGCUUCACACGUCAUGCAAUGGUCGGGACAGAGGGUCGCCAACCCGGCGAGGGGGAGCUAAUCCCAGAAACCCGAUCGUAGUCCGGAUCGCAGUCUGCAACUCGA
Molecule: ribosomal RNA, 534 nt
Filed under: uncultured bacterium
Lineage: Bacteria
Description: bacterial SSU rRNA
Rfam family: Bacterial small subunit ribosomal RNA
Source: RNAcentral